GAUGAAGAACGCAGCGAAAUGCGAUAAGUAAUGUGAAUUGCAGAAUCCAGUGAAUCAUCGAAUCUUUGAACGCACAUUGCGCCCGCCAGCAUUCUGGCGGGCAUGCCUGUUCGAGCGUCAUUUCAACCCUCGACCUCCCUUUGGGGAAGUCGGCGUUGGGGACCGGCAGCACACCGCCGGCCCUGAAAUGGAGUGGCGGCCCGUCCGCGGCGACCUCUGCGUAGUAAACCAACUCGCACCGGAACCCCGACGUGACCACGCCGUAAAACACCCAACUUCUGAACGUUGACCUCGAAUCAGGUAGGACUACCCGCUGAACUUAAGCAUAUCAAUAAGCGGAGGA
RNAcentral lists this unclassified non-coding RNA (343 nucleotides) under soil metagenome. Its description in RNAcentral is "partial contains 5.8S ribosomal RNA, internal transcribed spacer 2, and large subunit ribosomal RNA". The stretch from base 1 to 120 matches the Rfam family "5.8S ribosomal RNA", at positions 35 to 154 of the family's 154-position model. The record is from RNAcentral.